RNAcentral lists this ribosomal RNA (446 nucleotides) under uncultured bacterium. RNAcentral's name for it is "partial 16S ribosomal RNA". It matches the Rfam family "Bacterial small subunit ribosomal RNA", at positions 338 to 795 of the family's 1533-position model. The record is from RNAcentral.
CCUACGGGAGACAGCAGUCGAGAAUCAUUCACAAUGGGGGAAACCCUGAUGGUGCGACGCCGCGUGGGGGAAUGAAGGUCUUCGGAUUGUAAACCCCUGUCAUGUGGGAGCAAAUUAAAAAGAUAGUACCACAAGAGGAAGAGACGGCUAACUCUGUGCCAGCAGCCGCGGUAAUACAGAGGUCUCAAGCGUUGUUCGGAAUCACUGGGCGUAAAGCGUGCGUAGGCUGUUUCGUAAGUCGUGUGUGAAAGGCGCGGGCUCAACCCGCGGACGGCACAUGAUACUGCGAGACUAGAGUAAGGGAGGGGGAACCGGAAUUCUCGGUGUAGCAGUGAAAUGCGUAGAUAUCGAGAGGAACACUCGUGGCGAAGGCGGGUUCCUGGACAUUAACUGACGCUGAGGCACGAAGGCCAGGGGAGCGAAAGGGAUUAGAUACCCCGGUAGUC